GAAAAUGCUUAAUAUAAAACAUAUUUAAAGAAUACAGAACGGGAUUUCAAGUAGAGGUUGGCUUUGACUCCGGCACCAAAGUACCAAAUCUGGAGGGAAAUAAGGAGAAAGGCUUGUAAACUCAGCCAGCCAACUUAUUCCAAAAGGUGGACCAAAGGCUGGUACAUAACUGCUUUCUCCAGACCUGUCUGUAUCUGCAGCAGACAACUCCAAGGAACAAAGCGGUCAAACUACAGUGGAGCUGUUGCAUCAGGAGUUGGUGGUAACCUGGCUUCAGUUGUGACUACUCUCUGGGUCCCAUUUUGGUUUCCUUGACCCCAGACCACAGAUUUUAAUUAAUUUGCUCUAGCAUUUCAGCAGCAAAAGCUGAGUUCCUUCCUCUGAUUCUCAGUAGAAUGCCAGCUCAUCUCACUGACAACCAAGAAGUAGGGAAAAAUUCUGGGACUGACAAGUGGACCCAGAGAGACGACAAUUGACACAGCAAAGGAUAAUUGCCAAGCUCCAUGUUCAGGAAGCCUUCGUUUACUAGUUCCAUGUAAUUCCACCUCCAGGUUGGCUAGAUUGUCCUUGGUCUCCAGCAGCGUCUAGUUAAAUUCCUCUCCUAAGCAGCCUCUUGAGACUCAGAGCUGGUGGCUCUAUCCUCUGAAUGUCACUGCUCAGAAAUCCUGACAACCCUCCUGGAGAGGCAAAUCCUGAGCUCUACCUAAUCAAGCUGAGAAGACAGAACCUGAUGAAAAAAGAGACAUUUGACUUGUUUCUUCCUUCCAGUCUCG
Odocoileus virginianus texanus is the source of this 773-nucleotide non-coding RNA. NCBI's taxonomy places the organism in Eukaryota, Metazoa, Chordata, Mammalia, Artiodactyla, Cervidae. The record is from RefSeq and is a predicted model, not a curated record.